Molecule: long non-coding RNA, 377 nt
Organism: Teleopsis dalmanni
Lineage: Eukaryota; Metazoa; Arthropoda; Insecta; Diptera; Diopsidae
Exons: 2
Source: RefSeq, a predicted model, not a curated record
CAAUAAUUGGAUGUCAUCGUCUGACAUUUCUGCUUCCAAAAUGAUAAAUUUUUCAAUUUUGGCAGACAUUGAGAAAAUUUAACAAUUUUUACGCUUAGGAAAGAAUUUUAACAAAUUCUUGUGUUAAUAAGUGCGUCGAGGCCCUGAUGAUAAAAAUCAACAAUUGUUGAUGUUAAACAAUUGUUGAGUUAAUCGAAUUAAAAAUAUUCAAACCAAUUCAAACUUGUUGGAUAGUUAUUAAUUAGUGUCUUUUAUUGAUAUAAUUGCAAUUUACAAGAAUAAUGCGCUUAUAUCAUGUGCUCUAUUGGAUUUUGGGAUGCCUGUAUAUAACAUAAUCAUAAUAACACCACACAAUCUGUUGCGCUAUACCUUAGAAC